AGGGAUCGAGGCAUUAUGGAGGCAUUGUUAGUUCUCCUACAAGUUGCUGUCUGAGCUGUUGGUUCUCCUGGAGAAGCUUUGGUCUUCACAUCGAGCAUUGCUUCCUGGCUCCGGAGGGGAAGACAUGUGCUGCCUGGUCUCCAGGGUGAACUCCUCACGCUGCUUCCUGGCACGUUCCUGACUGUGCUUGUCGCCAGAGGAGCUCGGGGCCUCCAUGUCGCUGAGGACAGCUGUGGUUCCUUUCAGGACAGCCCCGCUCUUUGUUGUGAGUGUGACUUCUCAGCUCCAGUGUAGAACCCUCAUCCCACUAGCACAGCUCCUUCAUCCUGCUGGCAUGGACUUUCUGGCUUCCACCGCUGACCCUUGGGUCUUCCCGGCAUGAAUCUGUACAAGAGACUGGCAUGAGUCCUUGUGGGCCCUGGACUUCCAGUUGGACUCGUGGAGGCAUUGUCCUGAGCGCUGGGUUUUUAUCUGGACUCACGUGGGACAUUGCCAUGGGGUUUAGGCUCUUGACUAAAUCAUCUAUGUCAUUGGUGUUGUGGAUAGAUUUCCUGCAUUCUCCUGUGUUACUUCCGCAAGGGUAGUUUUUGAGAAAGAUGGAUGCAUAAUAACCCCAAUGACUGAGCAUUUUGCCAUUUACUUGGAAAGCACAACUGGACCUUGAGGAUAUAUAAUGAUGCUGAGCCUGGUAGAAAACUGGAGGACUCUAGUGAGUAUCUGAAAGCAGACAGAACAGAAGCUUUGGAAGAAAGCAGGUAUCCAGGUGCUUGUCCUAUAAGCUUUGCUGCUCCUUAUAGAAAGAGAAGUGAAUCAGAAGCAACUGAGAUGGCUCCUACACAGGCAGCAAGCCAGGAACAUGAUUGGACUGCUCCCUCAGGACCACAGUUUUUGCUCUACCACUGCGGGAAUGUGUGAUAGUGCUUAUGGUGCAUGUCUGUGUCACUGGGCCAGGACAACAUGAGCAGAGACACGCAUCACGUGAUUGUCCUUUGCUUUCAGCAGCCUGAGUUGUGUGUCAUUUAUUUCUCCCAUUCCCUAUGUUAAUUAGUGACACUGUUCAUCCAUUGUGUCCAUUCCCUGGAUGGGCCUGAAGUCACCAGCACACCCUGAAAUUUUCCCCAUAUUUUCACUCUAACACACAGACAAAGAAGGAGGUGUCAUACAACUGCAUAAAGUAAGGUUCAGUUUUAUUUAUAGAAAAAGGACAGGGAGAGAAAAAAGCCACUUUGAGAAGUAGGGUAUGAGAAUAUGGGUGACUGCAAAGAAAGCCAGGAAGGAGUCUUGCAGUUAUGUGAUGAAGUUCAUGGUUCCUCCUUCUGAAGGUAGUUUCAUCUGACAGGUUUGUCUUCCCCAUUGCUAAGGGUUUUGGUUUUAGUUUGGAAUUGACAUUGAAAAAAACAAGUACGUACAUUAUUAAAGGGAGACUUGAGAAUGCAUGACCCAGUACUCCUAAAUUCUCAAGAUCCCACCUGCAUUUUCUGACAUUAAGUGGGUUCCCAUCUGUCCUGAGAGAGCCACAAUUCAGUGCUUCCUCAUAAAAGAGUGAAACUUCUCCUGACAGUGCUAUAAAAUUGCGAUUCACUAUUAGCAAAUGUGGCUAGUUUUUAAGACGCCAAAUGGAUAGGUCGGAUCUUAGGAUGGUCUCAGACACUUGCGUGGGGUCCCAGGAAAGUACACUGCGUGGAAACCAGAGAGUGACAGGCGUCAGCCACUAAAUGAGUGUAUGACACCACCACAGACUUCCACGGAGAGGUGUCCAGGAUGUCAGAAACAUGAUAGUUGAUGAAAUACUGUCUGUUUUCAACUGAUGUGCACUGUGGACAUCAACCAAGAUGAGGAUUUCCACAAUAUUCUAAAAGGUGAGAUUGCUGCAGAGGUGGUUCUCACACCUGAGCUUCAGGCACUCCAGACCAAACCUGGCUGCAGCAUCCAGAAGUUCAGGUGGCAUCAUCCCUAGUUUUGGUGCCUUUCUAAUGUAAACAAAGUAUAUCAUUUCCUUAAAACUUCAGGUUCCGUGUCACUGAUUUCAACAUGAUUCUUUUUGCAUGCUUGCAUUUCAUGUUCAAACAAAGCCAUGAAAACUGAAGAGCAGGCUGCUAAGAUUGCUUUGUGAGCCUGGAAUUCCUGUCCAGCCACACACAAGCAACAGUCUGUGAAGUGGGAAUGCUUCCAUAGCCCUCCUAGAUCUUCUGCCAAGCAGCCCUCAGGAACCUUCACAUUUUUCAGAUUCUGGCUGGAAUUAUUGGUGGGAUCUUGUGCUACUUUCACUUCACAGAAGAGGGAAAGGA
Molecule: long non-coding RNA, 2288 nt
Organism: Cavia porcellus (domestic guinea pig)
Lineage: Eukaryota; Metazoa; Chordata; Mammalia; Rodentia; Caviidae
Exons: 5
Source: RefSeq, a predicted model, not a curated record